Molecule: ribosomal RNA, 497 nt
Filed under: uncultured bacterium
Lineage: Bacteria
Description: partial 16S ribosomal RNA
Rfam family: Bacterial small subunit ribosomal RNA
Source: RNAcentral
GAUGAACGCUGGCGGCGUGCCUAAUACAUGCAAGUCGAGCGGACGGACGCUAAGCUUGCUUCUCUGAUGUUAGCGGCGGACGUGUGAGUAACACGUGGAUCACCUCCCUAUCAGACUGGGAUCACUUCGGGAAACCGGAGCUAAUACCGUAUAAUAUUUUGCACCACAUGGUUCAAAGGUGAAAGACGGUCUUGCUGUCACUUAUAGAUGCAUCCGCGCUGCAUUAGCUAGUUGGUAAGGUAGCGGCUUACCAAGGCAACGAUGCAUAGCCGACCUGAGAGGGUGAUCGGCCACACUGGAACUGAGACACGGUCCAGACUCCUACGGGAGGCAGCAGUAGGGAAUCUUCCGCAAUGGGCGAAAGCCUGACGGAGCAACGCCGCGUGAGUGAUGAAGGUCUUCGGAUCGUAAAACUCUGUUAUUAGGGAAGAACAUAUGUGUAAGUAACUGUGCACAUCUUGACGGUACCUAAUCAGAAAGCCACGGCUAACUACGUG